RNAcentral lists this ribosomal RNA (253 nucleotides) under uncultured bacterium. RNAcentral's name for it is "partial 16S ribosomal RNA". It matches the Rfam family "Bacterial small subunit ribosomal RNA", at positions 524 to 776 of the family's 1533-position model. The record is from RNAcentral.
UACGGAGACUGCGAGCGUUACUCGGAUUUACUGGGCGUAAAGGGUCCGUAGGCGGCCAUGUGUGUCGGGUGUGAAAGCCUGCAGCUUAACUGCAGAACUGCGCCCGAAACUACAUGGCUAGAGUAUUGGAGAGGUGAGUGGAAUUCCUGGUGUAGCGGUGAAAUGCGUAGAUAUCAGGAGGAACACCAACGGCGAAGGCAGCUCACUGGACAAUUACUGACGCUGAGGGACGAAAGUGUGGGGAGCGAAAGGG